Molecule: ribosomal RNA, 406 nt
Filed under: uncultured bacterium
Lineage: Bacteria
Description: bacterial SSU rRNA
Rfam family: Bacterial small subunit ribosomal RNA
Source: RNAcentral
UCAGCAGCCGCGGUAAUACGGAGGGUCCAAGCGUUGUCCGGAUUUAUUGGGUUUAAAGGGUACGUAGGCGGGAUUUUAAGUCAGUGGUGAAAGCCUCCAGCUCAACUGGAGAACUGCCAUUGAAACUGAAAUUCUUGAAUAUGGAUGAGGUGGUUGGAAUAUAACAUGUAGCGGUGAAAUGCUUAGAUAUGUUAUAGAACACCAAUUGCGAAGGCAGAUCACUAAACCAUUAUUGACGCUGAGGUACGAAAGCGUGGGGAGCGAACAGGAUUAGAUACCCUGGUAGUCCACGCCGUAAACGAUGUUCACUCGCUGUUGGCGAUAUACUGUCAGCGGCCAAGCGAAAGCAUUAAGUGAACCACCUGGGGAGUACGAUCGCAAGGUUGAAACUCAAAGGAUUGACGGA